UACGAGGGGGGCAAGCGUUGUUCGGAAUUAUUGGGCGUAAAGGGUGCGUAGGCGGUCUGAUAAGUCAUCUGUGAAAUCUAUGGGCUCAACCAAUAGUCUGCAGGCGAAACUGUCGGGCUUGAGUAUGGGAGAGGUGAGUGGAAUUUCCGGUGUAGCGGUGAAAUGCGUAGAUAUCGGAAGGAACACCUGUGGCGAAAGCGGCUCACUGGACCAUUACUGACGCUGAUGCACGAAAGCUAGGGGAGCAAACAGG
Molecule: ribosomal RNA, 253 nt
Filed under: uncultured bacterium
Lineage: Bacteria
Description: partial 16S ribosomal RNA
Rfam family: Bacterial small subunit ribosomal RNA
Source: RNAcentral